UACGUAGGGUGCAAGCGUUAAUCGGAAUUACUGGGCGUAAAGCGUGCGCAGGCGGUUUUGUAAGUCUGACGUGAAAGCCCGGGCUUAACCUGGGAAUUGCGUUGGAGACUGCAAGGCUUGAAUCUGGCAGAGGGGGGUAGAAUUCCACGUGUAGCAGUGAAAUGCGUAGAGAUGUGGAGGAACACCGAUGGCGAAGGCAGCCCCCUGGGUCAAGAUUGACGCUCAUGCACGAAAGCGUGGGGAGCAAACAGG
This 252-nucleotide ribosomal RNA is filed under the name uncultured bacterium. RNAcentral's name for it is "partial 16S ribosomal RNA". It matches the Rfam family "Bacterial small subunit ribosomal RNA", at positions 524 to 776 of the family's 1533-position model. The record is from RNAcentral.